CCAACAAAAAAACACUGGCCGGCAUCUGACUUCCUGGUUCCGUUCCCUGCGAGCAGCAGCGGCGCAUGGGAGCGGAACUGGGCGGCAAAUUCAAAA
Nanorana parkeri is the source of this 96-nucleotide long non-coding RNA. RefSeq lists it as uncharacterized. The transcript is spliced from 3 exons. NCBI's taxonomy places the organism in Eukaryota, Metazoa, Chordata, Amphibia, Anura, Dicroglossidae. The record is from RefSeq and is a predicted model, not a curated record.